RNAcentral lists this ribosomal RNA (207 nucleotides) under uncultured bacterium. Its description in RNAcentral is "partial 16S ribosomal RNA". It matches the Rfam family "Bacterial small subunit ribosomal RNA", at positions 568 to 774 of the family's 1533-position model. The record is from RNAcentral.
CGUGUAGGCGGCUUGGUAAGUCGGGUGUGAAAGCCCGGGGCCUAACCCCGGAACUGCACUCGAAACUGCCUCGCUCGAGUCCCGGAGAGGAUGGUGGAAUUCCCGGUGUAGUGGUGAAAUACGUAGAUAUCGGGAGGAACACCAGCGGCGAAGGCGGCCAUCUGGACGGUGACUGACGCUGAGACGCGAAAGCGUGGGGAGCAAACA